AUGCCGCCCCCCAAUCGCACCGCGCAGGAUUACAUGACGCUCGUGCCGCCUUUGUUCACGCUCGCCGGCACCCGGCCCGGGCCGAUCCACGCGUUCGGUUUCGGCGCCGACAACGACGCCCUGGCCAUGCACACCAUCGCGGAGGCGACGGGCGGCACCUUCUCCUUCAUCGAGAACCAGGCGGCGAUCCAGGACUCGUUCGCGCAGUGCAUCGGCGGGCUCCUCUCGGUCGCCGUGCAGGAGGCGCGCAUCGCCGUGACGUGCCUGCACCGGGGCGUGCGCGUCCAGGAGAUCAAGUCCGGCAGCUACGGCAACCACGUGGGCGCCGAUGGCCGUGCCGCCUCCAUCGACGUGGGCGAGCUCUACGACGACGAGGAGAGGCGCUUCUUGGUGCUCGUGCACGUGCCGAGAGCCCGGCCCGUGGAGUCGGUCACCCGCCUGGUCAAGUUGAGCUGCGCCUACAAGGUCGCCGCGACAGGGCAGGCGGCCCACGCGGCCGCACCGGCCGCGGUGAUCCAGAGGCUGUUGGAGCUGGAGCAG
RNAcentral lists this ribosomal RNA (540 nucleotides) under Triticum aestivum (bread wheat). RNAcentral's name for it is "partial small subunit ribosomal RNA". Lineage: Eukaryota; Viridiplantae; Streptophyta; Magnoliopsida; Poales; Poaceae. The record is from RNAcentral.